GAUCAUGGCUCAGGACGAACGCUGGCGGCGUGCUUAACACAUGCAAGUCGAACGGACGACGAGAGAGCUUGCUCUCUUGAAGUUAGUGGCGAACGGGUGAGUAACGCGUAAUCAACCUGCCCUUCAGAGGGGGAUAACAACGGGAAACCGUUGCUAAUACCGCGUACGAUUCAUAGACGGCAUCGUUUGUGAAUGAAAGGUGGCCUCUAUUUAUAAGCUAUCGCUGAAGGAGGGGAUUGCGU
Molecule: ribosomal RNA, 242 nt
Filed under: uncultured bacterium
Lineage: Bacteria
Description: partial 16S ribosomal RNA
Rfam family: Bacterial small subunit ribosomal RNA
Source: RNAcentral